UCGACCGGCGCACGGGUGAGUAACGCGUAUCCAACCUUCCCAUUACUGUGGGAUAACCUGCCGAAGGCAGACUAAUACCGCAUAGUCUUCGAUGACGGCAUCAGAUUUGAAGUAAAGAUUUAUCGGUAAUGGAUGGGGAUGCGUCUGAUUAGCUUGUUGGCGGGGUAACGGCCCACCAAGGCGACGAUCAGUAGGGGUUCUGAGAGGAAGGUCCCCCACAUUGGAACUGAGACACGGUCCAAACUCCUACGGGAGGCAGCAGCG
RNAcentral lists this ribosomal RNA (264 nucleotides) under uncultured Prevotella sp. Its description in RNAcentral is "partial 16S ribosomal RNA". It matches the Rfam family "Bacterial small subunit ribosomal RNA", at positions 91 to 356 of the family's 1533-position model. The record is from RNAcentral. Lineage: Bacteria; Pseudomonadati; Bacteroidota; Bacteroidia; Bacteroidales; Prevotellaceae.